RNAcentral lists this ribosomal RNA (459 nucleotides) under uncultured bacterium. RNAcentral describes it as "partial 16S ribosomal RNA". It matches the Rfam family "Bacterial small subunit ribosomal RNA", at positions 338 to 795 of the family's 1533-position model. The record is from RNAcentral.
CCUACGGGGAGCAGCAGUGAGGAAUAUUGGUCAAUGGUCGGGAGACUGAACCAGCCAAGCCGCGUGAGGGAUGAAGGUACAGAGUAUCGUAAACCUCUUUUGUCAGGGAACAAAGGCGUGGACGUGUCCCCGGAUGAGUGUACCUGAAGAAAAAGCAUCGGCUAACUCCGUGCCAGCAGCCGCGGUAAUACGGAGGAUGCGAGCGUUAUCCGGAUUUAUUGGGUUUAAAGGGUGCGCAGUCGGUCUGUUAAGUCAGCGGUAAAAGCCCGGGGCUCAACCCGGGCCCGCCGUUGAAACUGGCAGUCUCGAGUUGGAGAGAAGUAUGCGGAAUGCGCGGUGUAGCGGUGAAAUGCAUAGAUAUCGCGCAGAACUCCGAUUGCGAAGGCAGCAUGCCGGCUCCACACUGACGCUGAGGCACGAAAGCGUGGGUAUCGAACAGGAUUAGAUACCCUAGUAGUC